GGAAUUGUGGCUCAUUGGUAGAAUGCUCGCCUAGCACGUGGGAGGCCCUGGGUUCCAUCCUCAGCACCA
This 69-nucleotide transfer RNA is filed under the name Marmota monax (woodchuck). RNAcentral describes it as "tRNA.Ala". Lineage: Eukaryota; Metazoa; Chordata; Mammalia; Rodentia; Sciuridae. The record is from RNAcentral.